Molecule: ribosomal RNA, 498 nt
Filed under: uncultured bacterium
Lineage: Bacteria
Description: partial 16S ribosomal RNA
Rfam family: Bacterial small subunit ribosomal RNA
Source: RNAcentral
GAUGAACGCUGGCGGCGUGCCUAAUACAUGCAAGUCGAGCGAACGGACGAGAAGCUUGCUUCUCUGAUGUUAGCGGCGGACGGGUGAGUAACACGUGGAUAACCUACCUAUAAGACUGGGAUAACUUCGGGAAACCGUAGCUAAUACCGGAUAAUAUUUUGAACCGCAUGGUUCAAAAGUGAAAGACGGUCUUGCUGUCACUUAUAGAUGGAUCCGCGCUGCAUUAGCUAGUUGGUAAGGUAACGGCUUACCAAGGCAACGAUGCAUAGCCGACCUGAGAGGGUGAUCGGCCACACUGGAACUGAGACACGGUCCAGACUCCUACGGGAGGCAGCAGUAGGGAAUCUUCCGCAAUGGGCGAAAGCCUGACGGAGCAACGCCGCGGGAGUGAUGAAGGUCUUCGGAUCGUAAAACUCUGUUAUUAGGGAAGAACAUAUGUGUAAGUAACUGUGCACAUCUUGACGGUACCUAAUCAGAAAGCCACGGCUAACUACGUGC